AUUGAACGCUGGCGGCAGGCCUAACACAUGCAAGUCGAGCGGAGCGGCGGACGGGUGAGUAAUGCCUAGGAAUCUGCCUGGUCGUGGGGGCUAACGUCCGGAAACGGGCGCUAAUACCGCAUCCUAUCAGAUGAGCCUAGGUCGGAUUAGCUGGUUGGUGGGGUAACGGCUAACCAAGGUGACGAUCCCUAGCUGGUCUGAGAGGAUGACCAGCCACACGGGAACUGAGCAACGGUCCAGACUCCUACGGGAGGCAGCAGUGGGGAAUAUUGCACAAUGGGCGCAAGCCUGAUGCAGCCAUGCCGCGUGUAUGAAGAAGGCCUUCGGGUUGUAAAGUACUUUCAGCGGGGAGGCGUUACCCGCAGAAGAAGCAACGGCUAACUCCGUGCCAGCAGCCGCGGUAAUAC
This 407-nucleotide ribosomal RNA is filed under the name uncultured bacterium. RNAcentral describes it as "partial 16S ribosomal RNA". It matches the Rfam family "Bacterial small subunit ribosomal RNA", at positions 30 to 526 of the family's 1533-position model. The record is from RNAcentral.